UCGUCGCAGAAUACGUGGGGCGCUUUGUUAUUGUUUGUAAUCUGUACGGACCCUGUUGCAGCAGGCAUGGUCAAAAACUGUCGAUAAAGGGAGAUAAGAAAUUGAGUUCUCAGAACUCCGAUUGUUUCGGACAUUCAAAAGUUUAAGAUGCCAAAUAAGGCAGUCUUUUGCGUAAUAGGUUAUGUUUACUAUUUACUAACGGUUGUUCCACAAAGAGGACAAAGCGCUCCGCGCACGCGAAGUAAUUAAGCCAAAGAGGUUUACGUAAUGUAACGGACUACUGUAAUACACUUCCUGGCUUCAUACGCACUCACGGGUAGCCCGUGUUAUAUAACCACUCAUAACAGUCAACAUUGAUUUGCGAACUCAUAACGGCCGUGGGCGUCUUAUGUAAAUGGGCGGGACUCGAAGAGAUGUUAGCAGAACGUGAGGCUACUGCGGAUGUGAUGGAUGGAACCAUUCUUUCGUACUGGUAUUGCUGAAUGCUACUUUUGAGGCCGCCUCACACCGAACAUCCAUCCAUCCACUGAACGGUCUGUAUGCCUUGGACGUCCACGGUGUACUACUUCCUCACACCGCAAAUGUCCAUCCGACAAUUUUGUUUGCAUCUUUUGUUUCAGUUGCGACGUCCGUCAGGGAAAUAUUGGAAUAAUGAUGGUAUUCAGUUUACCUUGAUGUAAUUUUAUACAUUGAUCGAAAUUCAAAAGGUAUGUUUUGCUUUAUACAAUAAAACACACGUUUUUAUA
This is a long non-coding RNA of Homalodisca vitripennis (glassy-winged sharpshooter), 746 nucleotides long. RefSeq lists it as uncharacterized. The transcript has 2 exons. The record is from RefSeq and is a predicted model, not a curated record. Lineage: Eukaryota; Metazoa; Arthropoda; Insecta; Hemiptera; Cicadellidae.